Molecule: ribosomal RNA, 249 nt
Filed under: uncultured Rhodocyclaceae bacterium
Lineage: Bacteria; Pseudomonadati; Pseudomonadota; Betaproteobacteria; Rhodocyclales; Rhodocyclaceae
Description: partial 16S ribosomal RNA
Rfam family: Bacterial small subunit ribosomal RNA
Source: RNAcentral
UGGGGAAUUUUGGACAAUGGGCGCAAGCCUGAUCCAGCCAUUCCGCGUGAGUGAAGAAGGCCUUCGGGUUGUAAAGCUCUUUCGCAAGGGAAGAAAACUUACUUUCUAAUAAAGAGUGAGGUUGACGGUACCUUGAUAAGAAGCACCGGCUAACUACGUGCCAGCAGCCGCGGUAAUACAUAGGGUGCAAGCGUUGUCCGGAAUUAUUGGGCGUAAAGAGCUCGUAGGUGGUUCGCUACGUCGGAUGUG